CUAUUUAAUAAUACUUCUUAUACACGUUUAUUUAUUUAUUGUGUGUUCUUUCAUAGAUCAAUUUAAUAAAUUGGGGUCUCCCAGCGCUGCGUCAAGUGGACGCUUUCUCCCCACCCCUCCACUCCAGUAGUGCUUUUGCCACCUUUUGAGCCCCAGCUCAAAGACCAGCAUCAUGACAAGGUUCAUGCUUCUUUACCUUGGUCCUGUCGAUGUUUCAUUGCUCUGGUAUUCAUCAAAGCGUGCCCCAGCUAAUGACCCAACACAUGACUGGCAUGCUACAAUGCAACCAGGCAUGAAUACAGGAACAGGUAAACAGCUGAGCCGUAAAAGUUUCUCUCCAAGAAUGUUUUCAACUAAAUGCCAUCGAAUACUGUCUGGUGAUACACGCUGCUACUAUGAUGGAACAAAACAAUGUGAGCAAUCUUUCUUUAAAGCUGCUACCCACCAGUCAAAGCUGCAGCUGCCAAAGAAGCCUUCUCCUCCACUUACUUGCUCCCUUCCCUCCUCCUCCCUGCAGGUUCUUUUACGGCACUUAACUUUACAAAACACAGUUGUGAGGCUGAUCUUACAUGCAAUUACAGAUCAGCACCAGUAUAUUUAUUGCAAACUCCUUGAACAUCAGGACAUCAAAAAAAAAAAAAAAAAAAAAAAAAAAAAGGGAAAAGAAAGAAACAAUAUUCCAUUGCAUAAUUACGAAUAGGUUUUUGUAGCCAAUGAACCAGAAAUGUAUUCAGAAGAAAAAAAAAAAAAAGAAAAAAGAAAAGAAAAACAGGAUAUUUGUAAACAGUUCAAACAAAACACGAUGCUGCCUCCAGUGAAACAUUUCACUGCAUUGCCAGCUCUGUUUCAAAUGGGCACGUAGGCAACCUGUUGCAAGAGAGUUGUGAAGCCAUGAGCUGAAACUUGAGGAGUUAAUUUUCAAACAUUGCACUUUCAGGGUCUGAGCACAUUUGAAACGUGAAAAAUCUGCACACACUCUGGGAUCUGAUAGAGAUUUGGGAUCUCAAACAGCAUUUCUUAAGAAAACCUGGUUAUUCCUUUCAAAACAAAAUGGUGGAAACACCAGAACCACACAAAACCAAACCACAACUGGUUGUCUCCCAUGAGAGACUGCAACGUGAGAAAAUAUUCAACUCCUUGCAUAGCUAUUUAAAUGGCCAAUAAAUUUUGCUGGAAUCACCCA
This 1183-nucleotide long non-coding RNA is filed under the name Anser brachyrhynchus (Pink-footed goose). RNAcentral describes it as "lncRNA (ENSABRG00000019125.1)". The record is from RNAcentral. Lineage: Eukaryota; Metazoa; Chordata; Aves; Anseriformes; Anatidae.